RNAcentral lists this ribosomal RNA (253 nucleotides) under uncultured bacterium. Its description in RNAcentral is "partial 16S ribosomal RNA". It matches the Rfam family "Bacterial small subunit ribosomal RNA", at positions 524 to 776 of the family's 1533-position model. The record is from RNAcentral.
UACGAAGGGGGCUAGCGUUGUUCGGAAUCACUGGGCGUAAAGGGCGCGUAGGCGGCUGUUCAAGUCGGGGGUGAAAUCCCGUGGCUCAACCACGGAAUGGCCUUCGAUACUGGACGGCUCGAGACCGGAAGAGGUGAGUGGAACUGCGAGUGUAGAGGUGAAAUUCGUAGAUAUUCGGAAGAACACCAGUGGCGAAGGCGGCUCACUGGUUCGGUACUGACGCUGAGGUGCGAAAGCGUGGGGAGCAAACAGG